CGGGAGUCCUUGGACUGAAUUUCCCAAGCACUGCUCUUGCUGUGGGUUUUGUUGGUGGUGCCUGUGGUCUCAGACAUGCCCAGAAGCUACUGAAAAUUAGUUGGCGUGUUAACGACAUUUGAUGCAUCAGUUGAUAGUAAAGUAAAAACUAAGUCUCGGCUUUGAGUUUAUGUGCUACAGUUUUGUUGAAUUAUGUCCAGAUGGUUGUCGAGAGAAUUUUUCUUAACAGAUGAGGGCAUUUGCAAAAACCAACAAGUCUAUGGGGAGACAAAGAACUUCACGCUAAGGACGGUGGGACCUGAUGGCAUCUGAGCUGGAAAGGCCCUCAGUGGCUUCGAGGCCAGCCCUGGAUCCUUCUGUGGCUGUGCAGGAGCAGGGAGUGGCAUGCAGAUACGGCAAAAACGAAGAUGCUGAAGCUGGGAAAAUGUGGUUCCUGAUCUCAAAACCGUUUGCAAACUGUCCAGUCCGCUACACCGGCGGAAGAAGCAGCAGUGCCUCAGGAAGGUGAAGCAGGGAACUGCAUCCAGCUGCCCAGGAACCCUAGCAUGUACCCAGACCGAG
Leopardus geoffroyi (Geoffroy's cat) is the source of this 561-nucleotide long non-coding RNA. RefSeq lists it as uncharacterized. The record is from RefSeq and is a predicted model, not a curated record. The transcript is spliced from 3 exons. NCBI's taxonomy places the organism in Eukaryota, Metazoa, Chordata, Mammalia, Carnivora, Felidae.